This 409-nucleotide ribosomal RNA is filed under the name Clostridioides difficile. RNAcentral's name for it is "partial 23S ribosomal RNA". It matches the Rfam family "Bacterial large subunit ribosomal RNA", at positions 2410 to 2819 of the family's 2925-position model. Lineage: Bacteria; Bacillati; Bacillota; Clostridia; Peptostreptococcales; Peptostreptococcaceae. The record is from RNAcentral.
ACUUAGUGAUCCGGUGGUUCUGCGUGGAAGGGCCAUCGCUCAACGGAUAAGAGCUACCCUGGGAUAACAGGCUUAUCUCCCCCAAGAGUCCACAUCGACGGGGAGGUUUGGCACCUCGAUGUCGGCUCAUCACAUCCUGGGGCUGUAGUAGGUCCCAAGGGUUGGGCUGUUCGCCCAUUAAAGUGGUACGCGAGCUGGGUUCAGAACGUCGUGAGACAGUUCGGUCCCUAUCCGUCGCAGGCGUAGGAAAUUUGAGAAGACCUGUCCUUAGUACGGGAGGACCGGGAUGGACGUACCUCUGGUGUACCAGUUGUCCUGCCAAGGGCAUGGCUGGGUAGCUAUGUACGGAAUGGAUAAGCGCUGAAAGCAUCUAAGCGCGAAGCCAACUUCAAGAUAAGAUUUCCCACCG